Molecule: unclassified non-coding RNA, 236 nt
Filed under: plant metagenome
Description: partial contains small subunit ribosomal RNA, internal transcribed spacer 1, and 5.8S ribosomal RNA
Source: RNAcentral
UUUCCGUAGGUGAACCUGCGGAAGGAUCAUUACUGAGUGAGGGCCCCUCGGGGUCCAACUUCCCACCCGUGUUUAACGAACCUUGUUGCUUCGGCGGGCCCGCCUCACGGCCGCCGGGGGGCAUCUGCCCCCGGGCCCGCGCCCGCCGAAGCCACCUGUGAACGCUGUCUGAAGUAUGCAGUCUGAGACAAUUAUUAAAUUAAUUAAAACUUUCAACAACGGAUCUCUUGGUUCCG